This 515-nucleotide long non-coding RNA is filed under the name Solanum tuberosum (potato). Its description in RNAcentral is "long non-coding RNA (STUB_LNC010965)". The record is from RNAcentral. Lineage: Eukaryota; Viridiplantae; Streptophyta; Magnoliopsida; Solanales; Solanaceae.
UGGUGGAUGAUGGAGGAAAAAUAGGCGAUUUAUUCGACUCCACGAAGAAAGAAAAUCAAAAAGUACUAUCUUGUGAUAAACAAGAUGAAUAUCAAUAUCAAGAUUCUAUCAAGAAGUUUAGAUCUUUGUCAAUGGUGGAUGAUGAAGAUAAAAGAGACGAUUUAUUCGUUGAAUCGGAGAAAUUAGGGUUAUCGGGGCAUGAGAAGUUGAAGAGGCAUUCUAUCAAGAAGUUUAGAUCUUUGUCAAUGGUGGAUGAUGAAGAUAAAAGAGACGAUUUAUUCGUUGAAUCGGAGAAAUUAGGGUUAUCGGGGCAUGAGAAGUUGAAGAGGCAUUCUAUCAAGAAGUUUAGAUCUUUGUCAAUGGUGGAUGAUGAAGAUAAAAGAGACGAUUUAUUCGUUGAAUCGGAGAAAUUAGGGUUAUCGGGGCGUGAGAAGUUGAAGAGGCAUUGGAGAGAAGUUGGAGGUAGGGUUUGUGUGCCCGAUAGAUGGGGACAUGAGGGUUCUUUGAGGGAAUGG